RNAcentral lists this ribosomal RNA (253 nucleotides) under uncultured bacterium. RNAcentral's name for it is "partial 16S ribosomal RNA". It matches the Rfam family "Bacterial small subunit ribosomal RNA", at positions 524 to 776 of the family's 1533-position model. The record is from RNAcentral.
UACAGAGGGUGCAAGCGUUGUUCGGAAUCAUUGGGCGUAAAGGGCGUGUAGGCGGUUUGUUAAGUCAUGUGUGAAAUCCCCCGGCUCAACCGAGGAACGACGCAUGAAACUGGCAAGCUAGAGUACCGAAGAGGGGGGUGGAAUUCCCGGUGUAGCUGUGAAAUGCGUAGAUAUCGGGAGGAACACCUGUGGCGAAGGCGGCAUUCUGGACCGAUAUUGACGCUGAGGAGCGAAAGCCAGGGGAGCAAACGGG